RNAcentral lists this unclassified non-coding RNA (345 nucleotides) under soil metagenome. RNAcentral's name for it is "partial contains 5.8S ribosomal RNA, internal transcribed spacer 2, and large subunit ribosomal RNA". The stretch from base 1 to 119 matches the Rfam family "5.8S ribosomal RNA", at positions 35 to 154 of the family's 154-position model. The record is from RNAcentral.
GAUGAAGAACGUAGCGAAAUGCGAUACGUAAUGUGAAUUGCAAAUUCAGUGAAUCAUCGAGUCUUUGAACGCACAUUGCGCCCCCUGGUAUUCCGGGGGGCAUGCCUGUCCGAGCGUCAUUGCUGCCCUCAAGCACGGCUUGUGUGUUGGGCCCCGUCCUCCGAUCCCGGGGGACGGGCCCGAAAGGCAGCGGCGGCACCGCGUCCGGUCCUCGAGCGUAUGGGGCUUUGUCACCCGCUCUGUAGGCCCGGCCGGCGCUUGCCGAUCAACCCAAAUUUUUAUCCAGGUUGACCUCGGAGCAGGUAGGGAUACCCGCUGAACUUAAGCAUAUCAAUAAGCGGAGGA